GGGCGAGUGGCGGAAUUGGCAGACGCGCCAGAUUUAGGUUCUGGUAUCUCACGGUGUGCGGGUUCAAGUCCCGCCUCGCCCACCA
This 85-nucleotide transfer RNA is filed under the name bacterium. RNAcentral describes it as "tRNA-Leu". It matches the Rfam family "tRNA". From Rfam's summary of the family: Transfer RNA (tRNA) molecules are approximately 80 nucleotides in length. The record is from RNAcentral.